This 68-nucleotide transfer RNA is filed under the name Ceratoscopelus maderensis. RNAcentral's name for it is "tRNA-Arg". It matches the Rfam family "tRNA". Rfam says of the family: Transfer RNA (tRNA) molecules are approximately 80 nucleotides in length. Lineage: Eukaryota; Metazoa; Chordata; Actinopteri; Myctophiformes; Myctophidae. The record is from RNAcentral.
GGCGGGUUAGUCCAAACAAGACACUUGAUUUCGGCUCAAGAAAUUGAGGUUCAAGUCCUCAGUCGCCC